GGCUGAUGCUGCUCACCUCAACCAGGGAUGGCUCAGGAGCAGCUUCUGGGGCUGGGCAUCCUGGGAGAGAAGAACCUGGAGAGCCACCACCACCUCCUGCUUCCGAGCAUCAUUUGCAGCUCAGGAGAGCUCGUUGAGAAGCUGGGCGUGUUAAUAAGUUCUUGCAGUUUUGGAAACAUAAGGGGGAAAAUAAAUGGAUGUUUGCAGAUGAAGGAGAAAAUUAUCCUCUUUUUUCUGAUGUUGGGGAGAAUUCAAAAACAAUGAGGAGAUAAAGAGACAAGAUACUAUAAGAAUUGAUUUUACAAGAUUUGAUGGAGAGAUAAAAGAUUAUGGGAUAAUACAGAAUAUAGAAAACAUAGAAACCAUUGGGAGAAAUCUACAUCUCUGUCAUUUGUCACCUCUAUUGAGUCCCAUGGAAACUCCAGGAAAUUCUUCAGUGGAAGUUAUUGAAAUCCAUAUGAAAUCUGGGGGUUGGAAAUCUGAAAAUUUUUCAUUGCAGCAACAGAAACCCUCAGAACUGAUAAGAAAUUAAGACUGGAAUAAAGGUCUCUCAACUUGUCUAGACUGGAGCUGC
This 574-nucleotide long non-coding RNA is filed under the name Cyanistes caeruleus (blue tit). RNAcentral's name for it is "lncRNA (ENSCCEG00000013649.1)". The record is from RNAcentral. Lineage: Eukaryota; Metazoa; Chordata; Aves; Passeriformes; Paridae.